ACACGUUGAUCCUGCGUGAGAAUGCUGCUAGUAGAGUUCGACUAAGCCAUGCAAGUGAUUGGAAUUUAGUUCCAACGCGAAUCGCUCAGUAACACGUCGUUAAUUUGCCCUUAUGCUCGGGAUAAUCUCGGAAAACUGAGAAUAAUACCGAAUAAACAAUACAAUCUGGAAUUGAAGUAUUGAACAAAGAUUUAUCGUAUAAGGAUAAGACGGCGGCCGAUUAGAUUGUUGGCGGGGUAACGGCCCACCAAGUCUACGAUCGGUAGGGGCCUUGAGAGAGGGAGCCCCGAGAGGGUCACUGAGAAAUUGGACCUAGCCCUACGGGGUGCAGCAGGCGCGAAACCUUAUCAAUGCACGACAGUGUGAAUAGGGAACUCUACGUGCUCAUACAUUAGUAUGGGCUUUUGUAUAGUGUAAAUAGCUAUACGAAUAAAGGGUGGGCAAGACCGGUGCCAGCAGCCGCGGUAACACCGGCGCCCUGAGUGGCAUUCAGUAUUAUUGGGCCUAAAGCGUCCGUAGCCGGAUUAGUAAAUUCUUUGUGAAAUCACUGGGCUUAACCCAGUGGCGUGCAAAAAACACUGCUAUAUCUAGGGACCGGGAGGAGUAAGGAGUAUUUUAUGGGGAGCGGUAAAAUGUGAUAAUCCAUGGGAGACUACCAGUGGCGAAGGCGCCUUACUAGAACGGAUCCGACGGUGAGGGACGAAGGCCAGGGGAGCAAAACGGAUUAGAUACCCGAGUAGUCCUGGCUGUAAACGCUGCAUGCAAGAUGUUGCGUAUUCUCGUGAAUGCGCAGUAUCGAAGAGAAGUCGUUAAGCAUGCCGCCUGGGAAGUACGGUCGCAAGACUGAAACUUAAAGGAAUUGGCGGGGGAGCACCACAAGGGGUGCGGCGCGCGGUCUAAUCUAACUCAACGCAGAAAAUCUCACCAGGGGCGACAGCAAGAUGAAGAUCAGUCUAAAGGGCUUGUCAGAUGAGCUGAGAGGUAGUGCAUGGCCGUCGUCAGCUCGUGCCGUAAGGUGUCCUGUUAAGUCAGGCAACGAGCGAGACCUGUAUCCACAAUUGCUAGCGGGCAUUUCGAUGCGACCGAGAACAUUGUGGGGACUGCCGGUGAAAACCGGAGGAAGGUGCAGGCUACGGUAGGUCUGUAUGCUCCGAAUCUCCUGGGCUACACGCGCGCAACAAUGGUAUGGACAAUGGGCUACUACUCCGAAAGGAGACGUUAAUCCUCGAAACCAUGCCCAAGUACAGAUUGGGGGUUGUAACUCACCCCCAUGACGCUGGAAUCCCUAGUAAUCAGAGUUCAUUAUACUCUGGUGAAUAUGUCCCUGCUCCUUGCACACACCGCCCGUCAAACCACUCGAGCAGAGCGUACAUGAGUCUUAGGCCUUUUACUUAAGCCGAAUGUACGUUCAGUGAGAUGGGUUAAGUCGACACAAGGUA
This 1439-nucleotide ribosomal RNA is filed under the name metagenome. Its description in RNAcentral is "bacterial SSU rRNA". It matches the Rfam family "Archaeal small subunit ribosomal RNA". The record is from RNAcentral.